Molecule: non-coding RNA, 82 nt
Organism: Daphnia pulex (common water flea)
Lineage: Eukaryota; Metazoa; Arthropoda; Branchiopoda; Diplostraca; Daphniidae
Source: Rfam
GCAGUUGUGGCCGAGUGGUAAAGGUGUUAGACUUGAAAUCUAUUCCUCUAUGAGGACGUAGGUUUGAACCAUACCAACUGCG